RNAcentral lists this long non-coding RNA (531 nucleotides) under Homo sapiens (human). RNAcentral describes it as "HSALNT0019985". The record is from RNAcentral. Lineage: Eukaryota; Metazoa; Chordata; Mammalia; Primates; Hominidae.
GGCCGGCCGGCAGGGGCGGGGGCAGGAGUCGCCGACUCUGGGGGUGCUCCGAGCUCGUGCUGCGGUCCCACUGUGCGCCCUGUCGCCGCCACCGCGGAAAACGUCUUGCACGUGCGAGGGGCAUUUCAGGAGUUUCCUGUCUGUCAGUGCCUUGUUCUGAUGCCCAGUCUGGAGUGCAGUGGUGUGAUCUUGGCUCACUGCAACCUCCACCCACUGGGUUCCAGCGAUUCUUCCACCUCAGCCUCCUGAGUAGCUGGGAUUACAGGCUGGAGUGAAGUGGCACGAUCUCGGCUCACUGCAACCUCUGUCUCCCGGGUUCAAGCAAUUCUCCUGCCUCAGCCUCCCAGACAGGGUCUCACUUUGUUGCCCAGGCUGGAGUGCAAUGGCACAAUCAUGGCUCACUGCGCCCUCCACCUCCCAGGCUCAAGCCAUCCUCCUAUCUCAGCCUCCUGAGUAGUUGAGACAACAGGCAUGUGCCACCAUGUCUGGCUAAUAUUUUAAUAAAAUUUUUUGUAGAGACAGGUUCUCCAU